RNAcentral lists this ribosomal RNA (443 nucleotides) under uncultured bacterium. RNAcentral's name for it is "bacterial SSU rRNA". It matches the Rfam family "Bacterial small subunit ribosomal RNA", at positions 958 to 1399 of the family's 1533-position model. The record is from RNAcentral.
AACGCGAAGAACCUUACCAGCCCUUGACAUGGAUACUGUGAGCCUAAGAGAUUAGGUUCUUCACUUCGGGUGGGUAUCACACAGGUGCUGCAUGGCUGUCGUCAGCUCGUGUCGUGAGAUGUUGGGUUAAGUCCCGCAACGAGCGCAACCCUCAUUUUCAGUUGCCAUCAUUUAGUUGGGCACUCUGAAGAAACUGCCGGUGACAAGCCGGAGGAAGGUGGGGAUGACGUCAAGUCCUCAUGGCCCUUACGGGCUGGGCUACACACGUGCUACAAUGGUGGUGACAGUGAGUCGCGACCUCGCGAGAGGGAGCUAAUCUCCAAAAGCCAUCUCAGUUCGGAUUGUUCUCUGCAACUCGAGAACAUGAAGUCGGAAUCGCUAGUAAUCGUGGAUCAGCACGCCACGGUGAAUACGUUCCCGGGCCUUGUACACACCGCCUACUA